This 433-nucleotide ribosomal RNA is filed under the name uncultured bacterium. RNAcentral's name for it is "partial 16S ribosomal RNA". It matches the Rfam family "Bacterial small subunit ribosomal RNA", at positions 29 to 507 of the family's 1533-position model. The record is from RNAcentral.
AACGAACGCUGGCGGCAGGCCUAACACAUGCAAGUCGAGCGGACCUUUCGGGGUCAGCGGCGGACGGGUGAGUAACGCGUGGGAAUAUGCCCUUCUCUACGGAAUAGUCCUGGGAAACUGGGGGUAAUACCGUAUACGCCCUUUGGGGGAAAGAUUUAUCGGGGAAGGAUUAGCCCGCGUUGGAUUAGGUAGUUGGUGGGGUAAUGGCCUACCAAGCCGACGAUCCAUAGCUGGUUUGAGAGGAUGAUCAGCCACACUGGGACUGAGACACGGCCCAGACUCCUACGGGAAGCAGCAGUGGGGAAUCUUAGACAAUGGGGGCAACCCUGAUCGAGCCAUGCCGCGUGAGUGAUGAAGGCCUUAGGGUUGUAAAGCUCUUUCAGCUGGGAAGAUAAUGACGGUACCAGCAGAAGAAGCCCCGGCUAACUCCGUG